GAGUUUGAUCCUGGCUCAGGAUGAACGCUGGCGGUAUGCCUAACACAUGCAAGUCGUACGAGAGUUUUUAACUCUAGUGGCGGACGGGUGAGUAACACGUGAGAAUUUGCCUUUAGGAGGGGGAUAACAAUUGGAAACGAAUGCUAAUACCCCAUAUGCUUUCGAGUAAAAUGGAUUUUAUCUGCCUAAAGAGAAGCUCGCGGCUGAUUAGCUUGUUGGUAAGGUAAGAGCUUACCAAGGCGACGAUCAGUAUCUGGUUUGAGAGGACGAUCAGACACACUGGAACUGAGACACGGUCCAGACUCCUACGGGAGGCAGCAGUGGGGAAUUUUCCGCAAUGGGCGAAAGCCUGACGGAGCAAUACCGCGUGAGGGAAGAAUGCCUAUGGGUUGUAAACCUCUUUUUUCAGGGAGGAAUAAAAUGACGUGUACCUGAAGAAUAAGCAUCGGCUAACUCCGUGCCAGCAGCCGCGGUAAGACGGAGGAUGCAAGUGUUAUCCGGAAUCACUGGGCGUAAAGCGUCUGUAGGUGGUUUAAUAAGUCAACUGUUAAAUCUUGAGGCUCAACUUCAAAAUCGCAGUCGAAACUAUUAGACUAGAGUAUAGUAGAGGUAAAGGGAAUUUCCAGUGGAGCGGUGAAAUGCGUAGAGAUUGGAAAGAACACCGAUGGCGAAAGCACUUUACUGGGCUAUUACUAACACUCAGAGACGAAAGCUAGGGUAGCAAAUGGGAUUAGAUACCCCAGUAGUCCUAGCUGUAAACAAUGGAUACUAGAUGUUGAACAGAUCGACCUGUGCAGUAUCAAAGCUAACGCGUUAAGUAUCCCGCCUGGGAAGUAUGCUCGCAAGAGUGAAACUCAGAGGAAUUUGACGGGGGCCCGCACAAGCGGUGGGAGCAUGUGGUUUAAUUUCGAUGCAACGCGAAGAACCUUACCAGGGUUUU
Molecule: ribosomal RNA, 940 nt
Filed under: uncultured bacterium
Lineage: Bacteria
Description: bacterial SSU rRNA
Rfam family: Bacterial small subunit ribosomal RNA
Source: RNAcentral